RNAcentral lists this transfer RNA (75 nucleotides) under Planococcus massiliensis. Its description in RNAcentral is "tRNA-Asp". The record is from RNAcentral. Lineage: Bacteria; Bacillati; Bacillota; Bacilli; Caryophanales; Caryophanaceae.
UGGUCCCGUGGUGUAGCGGUUAACAUGCCUGCCUGUCACGCGGGGUAGAGCAGUUCGGUAGCUCGUCGGGCUCAU